AUACGUAGGGGGCGAGCGUUGUCCGGAAUGAUUGGGCGUAAAGGGCGCGUAGGCGGCGCGGUAAGUCUGGAGUGAAAGUCCUGCUUUCAAGGUGGGAAUUGCUUUGGAUACUGCCGCGCUUGAGUGCAGGAGAGGUUAUCGGAAUUCCCGGUGUAGCGGUGAAAUGCGUAGAGAUCGGGAGGAACACCAGUGGCGAAGGCGGGUAACUGGACUGCAACUGACGCUGAGGCGCGAAAGUGUGGGGAGCAAACAGGAUUAGAUACCCUGGUAGUCCACACUGUAAACGAUGAAUGCUAGGUGUAAUAGGUAUCGACCCCUUUUGUGCCGGAGUCAACACAAUAAGCAUUCCGCCUGGGGAGUACGGCCGCAAGGUUGAAACUCAAAUGAAUUGACGGGG
RNAcentral lists this ribosomal RNA (397 nucleotides) under uncultured bacterium. RNAcentral describes it as "partial 16S ribosomal RNA". It matches the Rfam family "Bacterial small subunit ribosomal RNA", at positions 523 to 918 of the family's 1533-position model. The record is from RNAcentral.